Molecule: small nucleolar RNA, 139 nt
Organism: Leersia perrieri
Lineage: Eukaryota; Viridiplantae; Streptophyta; Magnoliopsida; Poales; Poaceae
Rfam family: Small nucleolar RNA Z247
About the family: Z247 is a member of the C/D class of snoRNA which contain the C (UGAUGA) and D (CUGA) box motifs. Most of the members of the box C/D family function in directing site-specific 2'-O-methylation of substrate RNAs.
Source: Rfam
CGCCUCGACGACGAGGAGCUUGUCUCCUACAUACUGUCUGGUCUGGACGUCGACUUCAACCCGGUGGUCACCGCCGUCGCGUCCAGGGUCGAGCCGAUGACCGUGGGCGAGCUCUUUGCCCAGCUCGUUAGCUUUGAGA